This 580-nucleotide ribosomal RNA is filed under the name Klebsiella sp. EECC-225. RNAcentral describes it as "bacterial SSU rRNA". It matches the Rfam family "Bacterial small subunit ribosomal RNA", at positions 83 to 659 of the family's 1533-position model. The record is from RNAcentral. Lineage: Bacteria; Pseudomonadati; Pseudomonadota; Gammaproteobacteria; Enterobacterales; Enterobacteriaceae.
UUCGGGUGACGAGCGGCGGACGGGUGAGUAAUGUCUGGGAAACUGCCUGAUGGAGGGGGAUAACUACUGGAAACGGUAGCUAAUACCGCAUAACGUCGCAAGACCAAAGUGGGGGACCUUCGGGCCUCAUGCCAUCAGAUGUGCCCAGAUGGGAUUAGCUAGUAGGUGAGGUAAUGGCUCACCUAGGCGACGAUCCCUAGCUGGUCUGAGAGGAUGACCAGCCACACUGGAACUGAGACACGGUCCAGACUCCUACGGGAGGCAGCAGUGGGGAAUAUUGCACAAUGGGCGCAAGCCUGAUGCAGCCAUGCCGCGUGUAUGAAGAAGGCCUUCGGGUUGUAAAGUACUUUCAGCGAGGAGGAAGGCGAUAAGGUUAAUAACCUUGUCGAUUGACGUUACUCGCAGAAGAAGCACCGGCUAACUCCGUGCCAGCAGCCGCGGUAAUACGGAGGGUGCAAGCGUUAAUCGGAAUUACUGGGCGUAAAGCGCACGCAGGCGGUCUGUCAAGUCGGAUGUGAAAUCCCCGGGCUCAACCUGGGAACUGCAUCCGAAACUGGCAGGCUAGAGUCUUGUAGAGGGG